AUGGCCUCGACGACUCCGCGCGCGGAGGCUUCCCCUGGUCGCCUAGGCCGACUCUGGUCGUCCCCGUACAGGCUCUGCUCGACGAGAUCUGCUCCUCGAGCUCAUCCCGUAGGUCCGCCGCCCCUGGGCAACCUCCCUCAUCGGCCCUGCACAGGCUUUGCUCGGGGAGAGGUUCUUCUCGAGCUCAUCCCAGAUGUACGCCGCCCCUUGAUGCUGGUCGUCCAGCAGCGUCCGUACAUGCAAGUUCAGAUCUCAAAAGAGUGCUCGAUGCCGUCCACCCUGAUAGCGGCCAUGUCGGGGCUGGAGGUCAAGCGUCAGGACGAUGAUUCGGCGGAGCAGGGACGAAGUGAUAAUUUGAUUAGUGGUUUGACACAGCCUUUGCUCAUAGAGACAAAGGAGUGGCAAGUUGACAAUGCAGAGGAUAAUGAUGGUUGCUGGUCCAUACAGAUUCCUCAUGCCACAUGUGAAGGUUUUCUCGUAAUCUCUUUAAUGUGCUUAUUUUUUGUUGCUGAAUGCAUAACCUUCAUUUGCAUUGGCUCUUUUCACAAAUAUAUCAGUUUCAGUUCUUCAUCAACUUCAUUCUCUAGUCUGCAAUGGUCAUUUUUCUUAUGGAAUGACAAAUUUAUUGCACACAGUUGUACACAAAAUAUUUUAGCAUUACUAUCAUCUUCUAAUACAGAACGGGAAGUGUUGGAACCUAUAAAUCGAUGA
Molecule: ribosomal RNA, 711 nt
Filed under: Triticum aestivum (bread wheat)
Lineage: Eukaryota; Viridiplantae; Streptophyta; Magnoliopsida; Poales; Poaceae
Description: partial small subunit ribosomal RNA
Source: RNAcentral